UGUUCAUUGCAACGAAAAAGAGCAAUGCAUAACAGGAAGUGCAAGAGUAGUGUUGUUGCUUGGCAUACAGCUACAAUGAUUUUUCAAUGGACACGGCUAAGUGAGGCUUUGGCAAUGCUGAUCGGCAUACUGCCUCUAAACGACAGGGUAGCCAACUCAGUCUGGUCGCUGGCAUUCUAGCUCAAUGAAAACAGACCAGCGUGCUGUAGCCUGUAAUUUAUGAAAGACUGGCUAGUAAGUCGACUGCACUUUUGAACAUGCACAUGGUAUUUAGCAAGCCAUGCUGUGUACCAUGUCGAGGCGGAACGUAAAUUUGAUUUGAAUGGACAGAAAAAUUGUUCUGACCGAAAAGCCGCCAGUCCUGACGCCCUCCCUGGCAAUAUAGAUUGUUAAUGUGUGUGAUUUUGCCGAUAGGGAUCGUUUGGGACUCACAAGAUGAACUGUUGAAGUGGGUGACGUGCAGACGAAAGAAACAAUUUGUUCAGAAAUAUUAUGCUACUCGUUCGCUUUAAAAUUUUACUUAACGAGCGACUUAACUCACUGUCUGGGUCGCUGCAAAACUAUGGAAAUGUCCCAGAUUUUGAAAGACCGGCAUGUGACCGUGAGAUCGGUUAAGACAAUUAUACAGCUUGCAGCGGAUACGUCUGCUGCUUGCCUAGCUAGAUGUUUAGCUAGCUACCGUUGCCGUAACAAAGAUGUUGAAGUUGUCGGCCAUCUGACGUCAGUAUAGGAGGCCUCCUCUUGCUGGGAACGUGUGCCAGGCAGUGAAUAUGCCCAGUGGGCUAGUAAGUCGACUCUGCUGCUACGAGGUGGCAGAGGAAAAGAGCUAACCAGCUACGAGAAGCCAGAGAGGAGAGCCAGCACGGCAGCAGAUAUGACGGAGCAGCCUGCUGUCACAGAGCCGGUGAUUACCGCCUGAGGCUGUGAGAUAGCCCCGAGGUCUGCUAACUGCUGCCAGUGCUUGCAGAAGAAGUAUGCAGCGUGGCGUUGGCUGACGGGAGUUGAUGUGCCUCGCAUGUUGUUGACGAGGAUGACAGGCCUGUUCCUGGCUGUGGGCUUCCUUCUCUUUCCUUUCUACUUCCUGUCAUGGUUGGAGAUGAAGAAACAUCACCACUCGUCAGGGGACACGUCUCACCAGACAGCCGACCAAUUUCCUGUCCCGUGCACUUCCCCCUCCCGAUUUCCUCAGCAGUGCCGAAAGGCACAAAGAUCCAUAAUUCACUGUCUUUGUCAAAGAGGGAGCAUUUGAACAUUUUCUCUGGACAGUAAUAAGCAGGGUGCUCUAUGGGGGUUUGUCACCAAAAAACAACCGAUCUGCAGCUUUCGAGUUUUGGAAAUUUAUUUGCCAUGCCCUUAUUUUCUCCCAGAUCUCGACCUCGCGACAGCGAAACAUGUGACCUUUACUUUAACAUAUGCAUGUGGCAUGUUAGCAAAACCCACUUCCCUUGUUUGGAAAGAGUUUUUGAUAAGUGAAAGAGCACUGGGAGCUCAUUCAGUUCUAAGGGCAGUUCCUGUUUAUAAAGAAAUGCUGCUUUUUUCUUGGAGGUCAAUCACCUCCAUUGCCCAUAUUGUCUUCUGUGAUGAUACAUGGCGAACUGUAAUAAUCAAUUUCAUUAAUUUAAUUCAUAUAUUGUUUCUGCCAGGGACUUAAGCCACGGCCUCCUCCUAACUUUAAUAGGAAAAUGACAAUCUAUAUUGAUAAAAUGUUGAUAUAUUUGUGGAUGCACUUAAGUCCAUUUCUCCAUUGGCUUGUUUUUCUGCAGCAUGCUGUGAUCUGCUUCCAUUUACUGA
Molecule: long non-coding RNA, 1791 nt
Organism: Anguilla anguilla (European eel)
Lineage: Eukaryota; Metazoa; Chordata; Actinopteri; Anguilliformes; Anguillidae
Exons: 3
Source: RefSeq, a predicted model, not a curated record